RNAcentral lists this transfer RNA (72 nucleotides) under Camelus bactrianus (Bactrian camel). It matches the Rfam family "tRNA". From Rfam's summary of the family: Transfer RNA (tRNA) molecules are approximately 80 nucleotides in length. Their secondary structure includes four short double-helical elements and three loops (D, anti-codon, and T loops). The record is from Rfam by way of RNAcentral. Lineage: Eukaryota; Metazoa; Chordata; Mammalia; Artiodactyla; Camelidae. RNAcentral also lists the same sequence under 2 other names.
GAGGGUAUAGCUCAGUGGUAGAGCACAUGCCUAGCAUGCAUGAGGUCCUGGGUUCCAUGCCCAGCACCUCCA